UUUUUAGUAUAAGUAUGUUCCAGGUAAUACUGGGGACAUAUUUAUACUAAAA
Bos taurus (domestic cattle) is the source of this 52-nucleotide non-coding RNA. Lineage: Eukaryota; Metazoa; Chordata; Mammalia; Artiodactyla; Bovidae. The record is from Rfam.